Long non-coding RNA from Triticum aestivum (bread wheat), 1134 nucleotides. RefSeq lists it as uncharacterized. The transcript is spliced from 4 exons. The record is from RefSeq and is a predicted model, not a curated record. NCBI's taxonomy places the organism in Eukaryota, Viridiplantae, Streptophyta, Magnoliopsida, Poales, Poaceae.
GGGCGGUGUGCCGGAAACGCGUGUUGGCCCGUUGACACCUAGCUCGAGCAUACCAGAGCAGAGCUGCUUUCGCCAUAGAUGGCAUAGAAUUCUUCUUCGAGGAAUCGGACGCAGGGUUGGUCUCUCGUUUGGACGACGUGCUUGUCUUGAGAGACGGCCGUGCGCAGCUCAUUGAUGAUGAGACGAGCGAAAUUACUGGUGCCUAAGAUGACUUGAUUUAUUCUGAGCCAGUGUGCCUGGAUGGGUACCCUAUGGAGGAGGCAUUUGUAACGGAGAGGAACUGCAGCUCGUACAAUGGUGGUGGCGAAGAGGUAGGGGAUUCGUGUGACCCAGGCGCUGGGAGUAUUGCCCUGACACGGCAGCCGAGGAUAGAGAGGAAGACGGCGUGGUCGUGUCAAGACAAAGGGGUCUUGUUGGACCGGGAGGGUCAGGACUAGUAAGGCAGCAGAUGAGAGGGAGCACAGUUCUAGCAGAGUGUCUGCCCUCGAGGCUUCGGUUCGUGCCUAUGUUGAUCAAAACUGCAAAUGUUAUUAAUCCAGCAAUUGGAACUAGCUUUGAGUCUCUCGAGGAGGACUAUGAGUUCUACAACCUGUACUCUUGGGAAGUUGGUUUUGGUGUCCAAUACGUAAAAAGCCAUUUGAAUGUACACCAGAAGAAGUGCGUAUGCGCCUGUGCGGGUAAACCAUUGCAGUCUAAUGGCCGGUCGAAGAUGUGGGUGCAAUGCCAUGAUGCGGCUGCUGAGAUCGGAUGAUUGUGGCUGGUAUGUGUGCGAGCACAGGUCAGAGCACAACCAUGAUCUAUCAGCUAACCGUGGGAAGAAAUUGCAUUGGAAGUCAGCUCGGCACAUAGAUAGUUACACAAAGUAAGAACACAGGUAGCAACACGCCAAAAGUUGACAAUCCACAAUGAGCAUCAGGCGUUUAUUGACAUUGUUCGUUUGUGGUUUGACGCCAUUAUAGAUGACGUUUUGUUUUUAUAAGAACCAUUUUGAGACCUUCAUUUAUGUAUUCUACUCCCUUCAUCCCACAAUGAAAGACGUUUUUACAAGCUAGUCCUACAUUAUGGGACAGAGGGAGUACUAGACUGUAUGUUUGCUGAAUUUGGGGUAGCCAUGGCAUUAGCAGCUUGUUGCUU